UCAAUUAUAUAAUGUUAGAACCAACAGUGAGCUUAGAGAUCGUCGGGUCCAGUUCUCCCAGUUCACAGAAGAGGACAAUGAGGCCCACAAGGGUUAAAAGUGAGUUGGUGAAGGUCAUACAGAAACAUGAAAGAUAACAAAGACUCUUCAUUUCUGAUCCAGGAUUCUUUCUGCUACACCAUAUUCUCUACUAAAACAAUGACAGGUUUAAUAAUUAGAAAAUUCCAUUUAAUCCUUUAAAUAAACGAGUUAAAUAAGCAUAUUGGUAUUAUCAUUUCUACCUCACAGAGAGGAGACAGAAUGACGUGACUUGCCCAAGGUCCUACAAACAGAAGAACAAAGACUAGAAAUUAAAUGCCUGCUUCCAAAGCCCAAGCUCUGUUUCAAGGUAAAACCCUCAGCACUGAAGACAAGAGACCACAGUUGGGGCUGCAAGUUGCCCCACGCCUUCCCAGAUUGUUACCUUCUAUCCAGAGUUUAGAUUCUCAAGUUUUCCUCCUCCGCCCUCAGUCCCACCCACCACUUUAUAUCACUGACUCUGCUCCCUCAUCUGGCACAACACACGCCCAAGGCCUGAGUCUCGGCUCUCUUCCUAAACCCUUUUGUGAAGUAGUGUCCAGUGUCCAUGGCCUAUUCCCCCAACUCAACCUGAGAGGCAGAGGGACAAAGAAAUCAAUUCGCAGAAUCUUUCCAGGAGCGCCCGUCGGAAGUAGCCAAUCACGUACGCAAAACUCCGUGACGUCAUCGGCUGCUGAGCAGAGUCCGGAGCUGCUCCUUGUCCCGGGGCCGGAGUCCCGGCAGAACUUCGCCAAUCGUCACCUCCUCGCGCCGGCUCCGGAGCCAGCGGAGGUGGGGGUUGGGAGAGGAAAGGACGAGAAGAGGGUGGUGGGACCAAGGAAGAUGGGUGGGGGUGGGGUGGGGAGGGUACGGGGUGGCAUGGGUGGCAGGCCAAAAAGUUAAGUGGGAAAUGGGCUUAGGGUCCACGAGAAGAAAGGGAACGAGGGAGAGAUCUGCCGAAUCAAAGGGAAAGAAGGGUGAGGGACAGGAGGGCGUGGGGGAGGGGAGAAGGGAGACAGAUGGGGGAAGGGAGAGGGUGUUAGAAGGAGUCCUUAGUCUCCGGAGAGGGCUCUAAAGACAGCUUCGGAGACGCCGUUGCUCUUCAGUCUUUCUCAGACAUCCUGCAGGAGUUUGGAGACUUGACUCUACUCCGGAACAGGAGAAGCACUGAUGCCCAAAUGGGGAGAGGGGUACAGCAGAGAAAAAUGUAUCUGUAGCAGGUAGAAGUCGACAGGAGAGGGGACAAGGAAAGUGCUGACAAGGAGAGGCAGAAAAGACGAGGAUGGGAGAAAAAAAGGCGGCCAGGAUGAGGUCGCCGAGGGUGCUCAGAGACUCACCCUGGGGUCCAGGCUCUCACCCUGCUAUCUUCUGUGGACCUCAAGCAUGGAGGCAACUGGAAGUUGGUGUACUUCCUUCCCUUCCUGUGGCUCCUCAGGGCAGGCUCCUGUCCCCUCACAGGCAACAUGAUCCCCUAAUGGAUCUCCUCACUCAGCUCAGGUUAUUUUUUGUGACCUAAGGACAAGAAGCUUUUGAUUCCAGUACAUAUUAUUUGGACUUCAAGAAAGCAGCGAUGGCAAGGGGUACCAAAAUCACUUGUAAGAAUUUUCAGAGCAAUGGUACAACGACCUGGUCUGCUGUUUCAGAGUGACCAGAACACCAAAAAGAUGCCAUCUGUGGAAUUUUAUGGCUGCAGAACUAUGAGUCAUUCUUCAAGUAAAUAGUGACUGUCUCCAACAAGGCACUGUUGAAAUUAGAUUUGGACCUCCUUUCUUGCUCAGUUGGAAGAGGAGAGAGAGGAAGAGAGAGAACAAGAACCUAAGGAUAGUGAACUGUCUCAUUUAUUGUCAGUCUAGGGUAGAGGAUUUCAAAGUGUAUGUAGCAGAACCUCUGUGCCUUAAGGAUUAGGGGAAGUACAGGGGAAG
This is a long non-coding RNA of Bubalus bubalis (water buffalo), 1979 nucleotides long. RefSeq lists it as uncharacterized. The record is from RefSeq and is a predicted model, not a curated record. The transcript has 3 exons. NCBI's taxonomy places the organism in Eukaryota, Metazoa, Chordata, Mammalia, Artiodactyla, Bovidae.